Molecule: small nucleolar RNA, 101 nt
Organism: Podarcis muralis (Common wall lizard)
Lineage: Eukaryota; Metazoa; Chordata; Lepidosauria; Squamata; Lacertidae
Gene: SNORD16
Rfam family: Small nucleolar RNA SNORD16
About the family: U16 is a member of the C/D class of snoRNA which contain the C (UGAUGA) and D (CUGA) box motifs. U81 acts as a guanine methylation guide and is found in an intron of ribosomal proteins L1 gene in animals.
Source: Ensembl
UGCUAUGAUGUUGUAAUUUGCGUCCUAUCCGGUCUUCAGGGGCAGUAGCCUGCUGUCCACUCGCUGUUGCCGUUGAGCUGACGACUUUCUGAAACUGAGCA